CCUCUCUGAGAGACAGCCAGGCAGAGAUCGUUUAUGAGGAAGCCUUGGCAGUGACUAGCAAAAUUCCACUUAGCUUCACUCCAUUGAUUUCACCGAUGCAGAUUUCGUUUAGUUUUACAAAUGGGAAUGGAAUGACCACCAGAGGCAGGGUACCAUGUACUGUGCUGGGCACCUAAAGAUGAAUUAGGCACAGUUCCCCCUUUCAGUUUACCUCAGUGUGAAAGAUGCUACCAUAUGCUGUUAUUUUCUUUAAGUUUUAUGCUAAUUACUUCAAUAACAGAUCUGACAGUCAUUGGGUAUUCCAUCGAGGUUUAAUGAAUUAAUUCCUACAAAGCACUGAGCCCGGAGCCUGCUCGUAAGAAGGGCUCAGUGUGCGACAACUCCAUUGCAAGAGUGCUGUUAUGAUGCUUAUUUUAUAGUAUGACAAAGAAACCUGGGCAGAUGGAGACUGAGUAACUUGGAGUGCCACAGACUUAACAAGUGAUGGAGCUGGGACAUGAACUCGGAUGUAUCUGUCUUUGAUUAGAUUUGUGAAUGUGGAACACUGCAGCCAAUCUAUUUUCAUUUUAUCUGGAGUGAGUUGACCUGCUAAGUCUGGAGGAAUUCCAAGGGACCGAAGUAAAAACCAGAGCAAGCCGAAGAGGGGUCUCAUGAACCCCAAGUUUCAGCCUACUGGGAGAUGACUCACUCAAGUGCUUGCUGUCUGGGUCUAAGGACUUGAGUGUGAUCCCCAGCACCCAUAUUUGUUUGCUUGUUAAAGCUAAGAGUGAUGGUUGAUGUUUGAAAUCCAAGCAUUGGGAAGGGGUAGACAGACAUAUCCCUGGGGUUCCCUCACUGGCCAGUCACCCCCUCAUCUCCUUAGUGAGCACCAGGUCAGAGAGGCUGUCUACAAAACAAAAGAUGGAUGGCUCCUGAAGAAUGACUCUAAGAGUGAGCCCAGCCUCCUCACGCACGUGCACACAAUGCAUGCACAAAUGCACACCACCUCCACACCGAUUCUGAGCUUUCACAACCCGGCAAGGGAUGCAAGCCUGUGCUUGAACAGGGCUUGAAAGGCAGGCUCACUGCGCUGACCUUUCAGAAUCUCUGCCUCUUUAUCAAUAAUGCAAACACCAGUUCACUGUGCAGAGCAGAUACGGCACUUAAAACUCCCAGAGAUCAGGAUAUAUCCCCACUGUGAUUUCAGAGAGUAAAUACAGAGGAGGAGGCCAGAGCAGCAGGCAGCAGCCAGCAGCCAGCAUCUUGCCUUGAGCUCCUGGUGCCCAGACUGACCCUGGUAGUAGGUAAGAAAUAAUUACUGAAAAGCAAAAAGAAACUAUCAUUUUACUCCCACAAAACCAUGUCAGAUUUUAGCACCUAAUACAUAAAUUUUCCAACUUUCAGAUCACAAAGAGUGGGAGGAAAAGGUGUCCAGGCUGAUGAGAUUGAGCUCAUGUCUCGCACUAAGAGCAGAGUUCAUGAGGACUUGGUAGGAACAAGGCUUUGCCAUAGUGGCCAGCAAUUAUUCAUAAAUAGAAAUUCUUUUCAUAAGAAUCCAACACACAAUGAGCUAGAAUCUUCUAGUCCCAAUUCCAAAUGCAUUCUGAUUGGCUCAGCCAAAGUUAUAUAGCCACACUUGUCCCAUCAGUUUAGGUGUGGUGAUAUGGCUACUUGGAACCCAUCUCUUUGGCUGAUGGGGCAGGAUAGGGUCUUUAUACUGAACAGAACCACAGUGUGUGUUUUAUAAUUGUCUUGCCAAUUAAGAAGAUCUGUGCAGUGAUUUCCAUUCUCAGAAUAUCACUAUGUCAAAUGUGACAGCCUCCCUUAAAUUCUCCAUUUUCUUUCUUUUAAAAAAUGUCUUUUAAAAAAGUAUGUGUGUGUGUGUGUGUGUGUGUGUGUGUGUGUGUGUGUGUGUGUUUGGGGGUGGUAGUGAUGUGUGUAUAGCUUGCAUGUCAGAGGAAUGGUUCUCUCUCUCUAUCAUGUGGGUUCCGUGGGUUGAAUAAGCACCUUUACCUGCUGAAUCUCUUGGCAGCCCAAACCCCACUUUUUAGUUUAAUUCCACUCUCAGAAUUCAGGACACCAACUGCUGGAUGUGCACAAGGCUAAGGAUCCACAUCUGAGUUGUUGAAUUUGCAGCGUGGUUAUAUAUUUCUCUACAACCAUCACGGGGAUCAUCAUCAGUUAGAUUCAUCAAGAUGGUGGCCAGGUUACAUGAAUCACCCAAUGAUCACACAGUCACCAAAGACCCAGAAAUUGUGAGUCUUUUGUUCUUACGGCCUUCUUGGCCUGGAUUAAUUUUACAUAAUCCAGCGACUGAAAUCCUAUUUGGAAUUCUUAGGGUAUAACAACUGUCAAACCCCGUUGUACCCAGCCUCCCACGAUCCUGAGAAGUUUAAAUCACCAGCUUUACCACAAGAUAUAGGAUUCUCAUUUGAAUCUGAAUUUUGGAUACCAAAAGAAAAAUGUUAACAAUUGUAGUGCCAAAA
Peromyscus eremicus (cactus mouse) is the source of this 2465-nucleotide long non-coding RNA. RefSeq lists it as uncharacterized. The transcript is spliced from 3 exons. Lineage: Eukaryota; Metazoa; Chordata; Mammalia; Rodentia; Cricetidae. The record is from RefSeq and is a predicted model, not a curated record.